GUACUCUCACACUCCUUGUCCUUUGGACUGGGAGCGGUGGACUUGGGUGUUGCUGCUUGACCGUGGCUCACCUCAAAUGCGUUAGUGCAUCUCCUGGUUGGACAUAGUACGGCGUGAUAAGUAUCUUCGCCGGCACCUCACCUCAGAGGGUGGCUGAUCAGGGGCCCUGUGCUUUCGAACCGUCUUCGGACAAUGACUGACA
This 202-nucleotide unclassified non-coding RNA is filed under the name uncultured Sebacina. RNAcentral's name for it is "sequence contains ITS2". The record is from RNAcentral. Lineage: Eukaryota; Fungi; Basidiomycota; Agaricomycetes; Sebacinales; Sebacinaceae.